Portunus trituberculatus (swimming crab) is the source of this 3616-nucleotide RNA transcript. It is a transcript of the gene named protein unzipped-like, with no coding region annotated. The record is from RefSeq and is a predicted model, not a curated record. NCBI's taxonomy places the organism in Eukaryota, Metazoa, Arthropoda, Malacostraca, Decapoda, Portunidae. The transcript is spliced from 3 exons.
AUCACACACACGCAGUAGUAGUCAACCCACCACGUGGAUAGUGCGCACAUCUAACGCGCCACACUCCUCACUGACAGAUCAACACGCCUUUCAAUAUCUGUGGCGGGGAAGCACGUAUCUCUGGCACAGGUGUUGAAGAGAGAGUGUACGGCACAGGUGUUGAGAUCAGGGAAGGUGUGUGUGUGAGUCAGCUAGCACGCAGGUGUUUUUCGUUGCUGACUACAGGUAUGUGCCGGUGUCUGAUGAGGCAUUAAACAGGUGACCAGCUUUGCACACCUCACUACUCACUACAUCCGUGUCUAGUGUAGUGAGAGGAGUGCCUGCGUGGGGCUGUGCUGUCUGUGGGUGUUGUACUUAACGCUCCAGUGAAUCUCCUAAAGUGACGAAUCUGUUCCGCAAUAUCCUGCACUUGUAACUCACUGUGCAUUCCUGGAACUAACUCUGGAACCUGGAAACUGGUGUGGCUUAAUGCAAAUCACUUCUACAUUGACUUAAAAUCCUGAAAAUAAGGUGAUCUGUUCUACUAUCUGUGAUUUUUCUCUAUCUGUGGUCUAGUACGAUCAAAACGUGAACUUACUGACUGAGUGGUGAUCUACUGAAGGGAGUGUUAAGGUGCCGCUCCUGUCUCCUCCUCACCUUCUUCUUAUCUCUGCAAGUUCAAGAUGAAGACAAACUUAAUUAUCAGGCUGGUGGUGACGGCUGCGGCGUGCGUAGCGUUGGGCGGGCGUACAUGCGCCACGGACAUGGCGCGGCGGCUGGGCCCUAACGGGCGUUCGGUGACAUCUUCCACGCUGGAGUGGAUCACGGCGCGCGGUGGCAAAGUGCCGCGCCACGCGCUGCCCGUGGACCAGCAGGACGUGGAGGGAGUGUAUUGGUGCCGCGCAACGUACCGCGGCUCAUACCUGGCAGGCGCGGCUCGGCCUGACGGUCCUUGCAUGGUGCCUUUCCUCACCAAGGUCCGCAAGAUCAACAAGUUCGACUUCCUCGUCUCUGUGAACGGCUCGGCACGCGUCACCUUCAAACCGUGGGACAAGUUCACCGUGAGGCCAAACGAUGCGCUGCUCACGCCUGACAAGAUGUUGGUGCUGGCGUCCGCUGAUGGGCGACCGACUGAACCUAGGAUGCCUGGUCACUUGGGACUGCGUACCUACGACCGCGAGGCCUUCCUGGUGGACGGGGAGGGCGUGAAAACCACGAGCGAGGCGGUAGUGAUGGUGGAGGUGGAACCCACGCAUUACUCGCUGCAGGACGUGGUGCUGGAGGGUAAGCGAGGCUUGACCCAGACCACGCCCGUGCUCCUCUCCAACGUCACCCUCGAGAACCCUGGCGAUAAGGAGGAGGAGGUGGGCAAGCUGGAGACCUACGUAGUGGAGGAGGAACACUACUGGGGGCAGGUGAAGGGCACCGUGACGGCGCUCCCCACCUCCAUCAGCAGCCCGCAGGACCCGCCCCUGGCCAUGCCCUUCCCGAGGGACCGACCCUUCAACUACAAGUGGGGCAUUGCCAACGUGAAGGACCACGUGGACAACCUUAACCUGAUGGACCAGCUGCCGUCGGGCGUGGGCGUGGAGGUCGAGAUCAACGGAAUCAUGCGGCACUACGAGGCGCCCUACAGUGCCACACUCAUCACCCACUACCAUGACGGCGAGACGCGGGAGCGGCGCAUCGAGGCCCUGCACACCCACCAGACGCUAGAGGCCGUCAGCGUCUCCUACAGCCGAUACUACAACCUUACCACCGGGGAGACACUGGACAUGCCAUCCCGUACACAGGCCAUCUUCGAACUCACCACCACUACCACCACCACGACCACGACUACCACCACCUCUACGACAACCACCACCACGACCACCACCACUACGGAGGCACCCACUACUACCCCGCAAACGGAGGCCAACACGGAGAUCGCCACGGAGCUGCCAACGGAGAUCAACAACGAGGUGACGCAGCUGGAGUCCAAGUCCCACUCCAAGGACGCAGACUCUGAACCUUUCCAGAGGACCCGCGAUGACAAGAGUGGCAGCCCGACACUCACCUCCACCACAGACCGCAUCCUCUCCGCACUCGCUUCUCUUUACGCCACUCUUAUUUUCCGUUACUACGCCAGCCUUUGAACACUCCCGCCCACCAAACACCCCUCCACAGUCCCACCCCAUCCUUCGGCGCCCCCCACCGCUGAGUCUGAGGAAGCGUCAGUGCUGAAGGAAGAACUGAAACAACAAAAGUCAGUCAGUCAGUCAGUCAGUUUGGCAAGACAAAGCCAAAGCCGUGCCGUAACAGGAAUUAUGUUAUGAGGGAAAGAAGCAUUGGAAGCAGAACAGUGUGAAAUAAUAAGAGAGAGAGAGAGAGAGAGAGAGAGAGAGAGAGAGAGAGAGAGAGAGAGAGAGAGAGAGAGAGAGAGAGAGAGAGAGAGAGAGUAAUGUCUGUUUAAAAAGUCAAAGCAAGAAUAUUUCAUUUAAACAAAAAAAAAAAAAAAAAAUACAAUACACAGUGAAAUAAUGUAUAGAUGUAUAAAUAGCAAUGAAUAAGUAAUCAUGUGACGUGUAUGCUUUUGUUCCUACGCAUACUCAUACAUGGUAGUAGUACUGUAAUGGCGAGCUGUAUACAUGCAUAACUAGUACACUGACCAUACAUAAGGCAACCUGGGGCUUCCGUGUAUGUCUACUUAUGUAUAUAUGACUAUGUAUAGAUGCGUAGUUACCACGUAUACUUAGAAAUCAAUGUUAGUAAUAGGAAUAAGUAAGGAAGGUAAUAUUGUUGCUUUUUGUAUUAUUUUCCUCUCUUCUUUUACCUGCAGCGUGGGGCUCAGGCUAAUAUUCGUAAACAUUACCUAUCCUACCUAUCCCUAACAUGUAUAACUAUGUAUAUCUUACCUGAGAUGUAUAGUGAACGCUCUGUAAUGUAUAAUGUAUAAUCUCUAUUUCACUAUUUUCCUCCCGAUUAUGUGUUGCUUAGAGAAGAAUAUUUUCCGCAGUGAAGAAACGACGAAGUUCAAAGUAGAUAGCGAUGCCGUGACGCGCCAAAGAGUGUACUGUCAUAACUGAGGCUGCGGGACUGAAAUCUGCAUCGUUCUCUAGUGAUAAGCAUUCCUAAGCGUACCACAUGCACAUGACGCAGUGUUGACAGGAUGGUUACCGGAGAAGAACGAUGCAGAUUUUAGACCCUGUGAGCCAGACUAUAGUGUUGUGGUGUCCCCGUAGUGGCUUAUUGGCUUAUCUUGUGGCGUAAGCUCGGUAUUCAGAAACACUUACUCUCCUGCUGCAAGUACUUUCAAAGGCCACACAUUUAAUUGCCGGGUUCUAAAGACUGUUUCUCCUGUUAUUUGCUAAAAAAAUCUUGUUAAUCUCUUAUUAGAAUCAUACGAGUAGCUUCAAAAACCCGUGCUACUUCAACUAAAGCCUUUUGGAAGUAGUGAAGGAGCGGCGAGGAGGUGUUUCAGAAUAAUAUUAUGUAUGGUUUUCAGUGAGGCAGGCGUCUUUCGUCUACCACUUACGCUUUCUUCUAUGUAGAAACCUUGGCCAAAAGUGAAAAAAAAAAAAAAUCUUUGAACGAAAAAAAAAAAGAAUAUUUGUAAUCAUUGAUAAUCCGACACGUAAAAAAAGAGAAGGAUGAAAAA